GACGAACGCUGGCGGCGUGCCUAAUACAUGCAAGUCGAACGCAGUGGGGACGGGUGAGUAACACGUGGGUAACCUCCCAUCAGAGGGGAUAACACUUGGAAACAGGUGCUAAACCGAUACUGAUGGAUGGACCCGCGGUGCAUUAGCUAGUUGGUGAGGAAACGGCGCACCAAGGCCACGAUGCAUAGGCGACCUGAGAGGGUGAGCGGCCACACUGGGACUAAGAGACGGCGCAGACUCCUAGGGGAGGCAGCAGUAGGGAAUCUCCGGCAAGGGACGAAAGUCUGACCGAGCAACGCCGCGUGAGUGAAGAAGGUUUUCGGAUCGUAAAACUCUGUUGUUAGAGAGGCGGUAUCUAGCCAGAAAGCCACGGCUAACUACGGGCCAGCAGCCGCGUAAUUC
Molecule: ribosomal RNA, 402 nt
Filed under: uncultured bacterium
Lineage: Bacteria
Description: partial 16S ribosomal RNA
Rfam family: Bacterial small subunit ribosomal RNA
Source: RNAcentral